UUCGCCGCUGCCACCAAGGUUUGUGGAAGAGAGUGUCGUCGUCGCCGUGGGUGGAGUUCACCGUCCGAGCUGCCACCAGAGGAAGCCACCGCCAAUGAACA
Molecule: non-coding RNA, 101 nt
Organism: Arachis ipaensis
Lineage: Eukaryota; Viridiplantae; Streptophyta; Magnoliopsida; Fabales; Fabaceae
Source: RefSeq, a predicted model, not a curated record